GUUAACGGCACGAGUCGGAAAUAGGAAUCCCCGGCUCGCAGUGGACUCACCACAAGUAGAGAAAUGUCGCAUCUCUAACAGGAGACCCACUGGCAAAAUCCGAUCCCUGCCUCCACGUGGCGCUGCUGGAUGUCGGUCUUGAUGAGCCUCGCCACCUCAGUCAAGACCUAACCAAAGGGACGGUACUGAUCCCUUUGUUUGUAUCACAAAGAGACAGUGGAAAGGGCCUAUGAACGAUCAUUAUCCGGGAGGGAGAUUGGGCACCUCCUGACUCCUAUUUACGAUGAUCUAUAAAGAUAGGUUCAAAAGAAGCGAGAAAGGACUGUGGGGACAGUCAUGGAUCUGGAGGAAGCCAGCUGCCACUUCCUGGGCCAGUAUCAUAUAUGACCCCAAAGGUCCGCACGAGAAAGAUCCUUGCACGAGGAUCAUCAAAGAGGGGACCAUGGAACGAUCAUAAUACGGAAGGGAGAUUCGCCGCCUCUUUGCUUCUGUAUCAAAUGAUCUUAGUACAAAGGUCUAUCAGAUUAUUACACCGGUCGUCGGCAUUGGCUUCUUGGGACCAGUGCUAUGGACCUGGAUUGUAAGAUCUCAAAGUGGAAAUACGGGCUACCCAAGAGCCCAGGGAAAUGUUGUGCAUCGGGCAUCGGCAAUGGAAACUUGGAGCCGUUGCUAUUGGCCCGAACGCAGGCUUUCCAAAGCAGGCGUGGAUGUCCAAGCGUCUAAGAGGGAAACUGUGCAUCUUGUAUCGGCACUGGAAAUAGUGCGCCAGUGCUAUUGGCUUGAUCACAAAUUUCCAAUGGCUGGCUUUCUACAGGUCAGUUCAUCAAGCGAGAGACCACAAGGGGAAACGGUCAUAAAUCUGGAGGAAGGUUCUGCGCACUUCCUGAGUCAGUAUUAUACCUGACCUCAAAGGUCCGCAAGAUCCUUGCACGAGGAUCAUCAAGGAGGCGACCAUGGAACGAUCAUAAUACGGGAGUGGGAUUGUCGUCCUCCUGACUCCUGUGUCAGAUGAUCUUAGUACAAAGGUCCAUACGAUUGUUACACCGGUCGUCGGCAUUGGUAUCUUGGGACCAAUGCUAUGGGUCUGGAGCGUAAGAUAUCAAGGUGGAAGAAAGGGCUUCCCAAGAGCCCAGGGAAAUGCUGUGCACUGGGCAUCCGUAGUGGAAUCUUAGAGCCAUUGCUAUCGGCCCAGAACGCAGGCUUCCCAAAGUAGGUGUGGACGUCUGAGCGUCCAGGAAGAGCGAUGUGUGUUGUGCUGCAAUACUUCACCAGGGCACUGGUAUUGUUAGCUCCUACACUGGGUUUUCACAACCCAUGUGAUUCAAACGCCUGGAAAAUCGCACAGGUUGAGUGCGACAAAAAAUAUAAUAAAAAAAAAACAAAAAAAGAAGGAGUGGGAGAACAUCAAAGUGGGAAACUUAGUUCAAACGAACGAGAUAAGUUUCUCUAACAAUGUGGUCCAUAAGAUUGUUACACCGGUCGUCGGCAUUGGCUUCUUGGGACCAGUGCUAUGGACCUGGACCGUAAGAUCUCAAAGUGGAAAUACGGGCUACCCAAGAGCCCAGGGAAAUGCUGUGCAUCGGGCAUCGGCAGUGGAAUCUUGGAGCCGUUGCUAUUGGCCCGAACGCAGGCUUCCCAAAGCAGGCGUGGAUGUCCAAGUGUCUAAGAGGGAAACUGUGCAUCUUGUAUCGGCACUGGAAAUAGUGCGCCAGUGCUAUUGGCUUGAUCGCAGAUUUCCAAUGGCUGGCUUUCUACAGGUCAGUUCAUCAAGCGAGAGACCACAAGGGGAAACGGUUAUGAAUCUGGAGGAAGGUUCUCCGCACUACCUGAGCCAGUAUUAUACCUGACCUCAAAGGUCCGCAAGAUCCUUGCACGAGGAUCAUCAAGGAGGGGAUCAUGAAACGAUCAUAAUACGGGAGCGGGAUUGGGGUCCUCCUGACUCCUGUGUCAGAUGAUGUUAUCACAAUGGUCCAUAAGAUUGUUACACCGGUCGUCGGCAUUGGCUUCUUGGGACCAGUGCUAUGGACCUGGACCGUAAGAUCUCAAAGUGGAAAUACGGGCUACCCAAGUGCCCAGGGAAAUGCUGUGCAUCGGGCAUCGGCAGUGGAAUCUUGGAGCCGUUGCUAUUGGCCCGAACGAAGGCUUCUCAAAGCAGGCGUGGAUGUCCAAGCGUCUAAGAGGGAAACUGUGCAUCUUGUAUCGGCACUGGAAAUAGUGCGCCAGUGCUAUUGGCUUGAUCGCAGAUUUCCAAUGGCUGGCUUUCUACAGGUCAGUUCAUCAAGCGAGAGACCGCAAGGGGAAACGGUCAUAAAUCUGGAGGAAGGUUCUCCGCACUUCCUGAGCCAGUAUUAUACCUGACCUCAAAGGUCCGCAAGAUCCUUGCACGAGGAUCAUCAAGGAGGGGACCAUGGAACGAUCAUAAUACGGGAGGGAGAUUGGGAACCUCCUGACUCCUGUGUCAGAUGAUCUUAGUACAAAGGUCCAUAAGAUUGUUACACCGGUCGUCGGCAUUGGCUUCUUGGGACCAGUGCUAUGGACCUGGACCGUAAGAUCUCAAAGUGGAAAUACGGGCUACCCAAGAGCCCAGGGAAAUGCUGUGCAUCGGGCAUCGGCAGUGGAAUCUUGGAGCCGUUGCUAUUGGCCCGAACGCAGGCUUCCCAAAGCAGGCGUGGAUGUCCAAGUGUCUAAGAGGGAAACUGUGCAUCUUGUAUCGGCACUGGAAAUAGUGCGCCAGUGCUAUUGGCUUGAUCGCAGAUUUCCAAUGGCUGGCUUUCUACAGGUCAGUUCAUCAAGCGAGAGACCACAAGGGGAAACGGUUAUGAAUCUGGAGGAAGGUGCUCCGUACUUCCUGAGCCAGUAUCAUACCUGACCUCAAAGGUCCGCAAGAUCCUAGCACGAGGAUCAUCAAGGAAGGGACCAAGGAACGAUCAUAAUACGGGAGGGAGAUUGGGAACCUCCUGACUCCUGUGUCAGAUGAUGUUAUCACAAUGGUCCAGAAGAUUGUUACACAGGUCGUCGGCAUUGGCUUCUUGGGACCAGUGUUAUGGGGCUGGAGCGUAAGAUCUCAAGGAGAAAAUACGGGUUACCCAAGAGCCCAGAGAAACGUUGUGCAUUGGGCAUCGGUAGUGGAAUCUUGGAGCCAUUGCUAUUGGCCCGAACGCAGGCUGGUUGUGGAUGUCCAAGCAUCCAAGAGGGGAACUGUCCAAGUGGCACUGGAAGUAGUACCAGUGAUUUUGGCUAGAACGCAGUUUUCCACAGGCUUAAUGGUGGGUUAGCUUUCCAGGAGGAACCAAUCCAUUAAGCAAACAAGAUCUUUGUAGGAAGGUCUGGUCUAAGAGGUUAUACACCGGGCUCAUGCGUUGGAUUGUUAGAACCAAUGCAAUGAGCCUGGAAAUAUACAGAGUGAUUGGGUUAUCCAACAGCCCAUAAGAAUCUUGUGAAUCGGUAUCGGUAGUGGAAGCUUGGAUCCACUACUAUUCGCCAAGUAUUGUAUGUUCGGACGUCCAAGCGUCCCGAAAGUGGUUUUACUUCGGGCACUAGUAUUGGACUGUUGGAACCAAUGCUACGUGCCUGAAGUAACAGUACAACGAAGUAAAAUGGGCAAUCUAACAUCCCAAAAGAGCGAGAAAAAAGAAGAAAUAUUCUGAAAAUGAAAAUACCUGGACAAAUAAAACAUAAAAAAUAUAAAACAUCAAAAAAAGAAGGAGUGGGAGAAAAUUAAGAAGUGGUAGGGGAGUGGAUAACCUAUGUUCCAAUGGACGAGAGAAGGUUUCAUAACACUUCUGUCCAGAAGAUUGUUACAAGAGGUAUCGGUAUUGGCUUCUUGGGACCAACGCUACAGACCUCGAGUGUAAGAUCUCAACAUAGGAGAAGCGGCUACCCAAGAGCCCAGCAGUACUGCAGGGAGUAGUAUUGCAAAAAUGAUUGAAAGUUGAUGCAUUUGAAAUAUGAUUUUUAAAACAACACCCUUUGAAAUAUCAAUUUCAAUGAACUAUAACAAAAAAAAUGAAAAUUUUAAAAUCUUCACGCAUUCCUUACGCAUUGUUUGUUUUGUAAUGGUGAUCUGCAAAGUUCAUGCUCUAAUUCAAUUUAGUUUCACGGCGUGUGCCUAUCUUCAAAGAUUUGUAAAAUUAUUUACUUCGGGAUAGUUCAUCAUUGAAAAUUGCGUCUUUGUAUCAUCUCAUAACUCAUUGAUCUAAUUUUUAAUGAAGCAUAAUAAAGUAAAAUCAUGAAUUUUAAUACCGCAAUUGAUUAUAGAACAUGCUUGCAUUUACAUAUAAUAAAGUAAUUCUCACAAAACGAGAUAUUUUUCGUUACGAAUAAUUGCGUCCCAUAAUAUCUCUAAAUGUUUCGAUACUAUCAACCGUAAAAAAGGAGUUAAAAAUGCCAACAUUUUGUACUACAAAUCGAAUUACCUAUUUUCUAUCCUUGAUUCAUAAUCAUACCUUAGCUUGGGUUUUUCUUGUUAUUGUGUACUAAUAUUUUUUUUAUUAAAAUAAUCCAAAAAGAGACAGUAAUAAUGUCCUAAGUGAUAACAUAACAAACAAGACAUAAGACUUAUAUUAGUAGCAGGAAAUAACAGGAUGAAGUAUUCAUUUAUUAGAUCCGAUUAUUACACGGAUACGGACUAGCACAUUUCAAAACUGUUGCGUAACAAACCUGAUCCUACAAGAUUACACACGCCAAGUAAUGGCGACAGGAACUGAGGAAUGUAAAAUGCAACUCCAGAACAUGUAGCAAUUUGAAAAUAUCAAGGAAUCUUCCAAAAAAUACAGGAGAACUAAGGUUAGGAGGUUAUGAAAGAUAACAUAAGUACAUUAAUAAGAUCAUCAGCCAAUAGGCAAAGCUACCUCCAUUUCAAAGAAAAGUACACGCUUCGAGGAGAAAAAAAACCGUCUGUCUUCACGACCGCGAGAAGGAAUUCCUAACGGUAAACCUAAAGAUUCGGUUCAUGUUUUAUAAGUGAGACAUUAAAUAGGAGUCUUUAAGUACAUCGAAAGGUCAAAACUGUGCACUGCAGUCGUGCAUCAACACGGGGUACAAUUAGUUGAAAUCAGUUGCGGUAAAAUGCACGUGCUGUGGAAAGUUGUUCAUUGCUACCAUGGAGAUGUAAACGUGUUUUGCUGGACGGAUUGAUGGAAUCGUGUAAUCGUGUGAAGGUGUGCGGUAACGUUAAGAAAUAGUGUGACACAAAUGAUCCCACACAGAUACUUCAGUUUGAUGUGAAACCCGUUGUGGGGAGUACUUACGGACAUCAAUGUAUCACUGAUCGAGACAGCACACAAUAUUCCUGUGGAAGUCUUAACCGACACAAGAGCCCAGGAAGAGCCCAGAAAAGAAUCACGGUAUUCCGCAACAGUGUAGAGCUCUCUAUAACUGGUACACCACCUUCCGAUAAGGAUUCAGUAUCACAAAACAAUCCAGCAUUGAAAGUUCGUAGGAAAUUCGUGGGAAACUAUUCAGAAAUGAACAUAAAAUUUCCUUACGGUACAUAUCCUACGACGUAAACGUAUGUAACCUUCCAGAAUACUGCACUAUACAACUGAUGUACCUGUGGGGGAAGUGUAUUCCUCACGAAGCAUGGCAGCAAUGGCAUGGAGAACGAUGGUCUGCUCCGAAGUAGGAAACCGAAAUAAACACCGGUUGAUUUAUUCUAAUCUGUGUUGGAAAACAGCUAACGAGAAUAUUAUAUACAUUGGAGUUAUUAACUAUCAGAUCAACUCGAGUACAAAUGCAUUUACCUGUUAUCCAUCAUCGCAAGCAACAGCAACAGCAAAAAAGCAACAACUUCUAUCAAUCUAUCAUGGCAGAUGAUGUUUAAACGGUUCAAGUCUACGGUUUAAAUAGUUGAUAAACGAUGCGCCGGUUUACGAAGUACAAAUGACAAAUACUGUUGAGUUAAUAUUGCCAAUUUAAAGCUAAGGUUUACUUAAAUUUGAAUACGAAGACAAGACAAAGUUUUGCCAUAAAUGGUUUCUGAGGAAAAUGUCGCAAGUUUUAUUGUGCUGCAUACAACUGAAUUGAUAUGUGAGGUACGCGAGGAAAACUUUCAGGUUUUUUUUUAAUGCGAGAACUUUUAAUGUACACCCAUAGAAAAAGGACGGUUUGUAACUAAAGAGAAUUUAGCAACAGGAAAGCGUAGGGAAUCAGCUUUCGAAUAUGGAUUUUGUCAGGUGCCAGAAUUAUAUAAAUAAAGAUGCGAGAAACGUUUAGAAAA
This is a long non-coding RNA of Anopheles funestus (African malaria mosquito), 6217 nucleotides long. RefSeq lists it as uncharacterized. The record is from RefSeq and is a predicted model, not a curated record. NCBI's taxonomy places the organism in Eukaryota, Metazoa, Arthropoda, Insecta, Diptera, Culicidae. The transcript has 6 exons.